RNAcentral lists this transfer-messenger RNA (365 nucleotides) under Virgibacillus profundi. It matches the Rfam family "transfer-messenger RNA". Rfam says of the family: Bacterial tmRNA, also known as 10Sa RNA or SsrA, is named for its dual tRNA and mRNA-like properties. Its role is to liberate the mRNA from a stalled ribosome. RNAcentral also lists the same sequence under 1 other name. Lineage: Bacteria; Bacillati; Bacillota; Bacilli; Caryophanales; Bacillaceae. The record is from RNAcentral.
GGGGGCGUUACGGAUUCGACAGGGAUAGAUUGAGCUCAGGUUGCGCGUCGAGGCUACGGCUCGUUAAACGUUACUCGCCUAAUAACUGGCAAAACUAAUAAUCAACCUGCUUUAGCAGCUGCGUAAGUAGCCUAAAGCGAUCCUUCCUGCUUUCGCCCGUGAAGCAGUACUGAAGGGUCUCAAAUGAAGCGGGCUAUUUGCGGCAAUCCACCGUCUGAGGAUGGUCGCUGAAUUUAAUCAGACUAGCUACUCCAAAGCCUGUUGGUAGGCCUAGAGGUUAGCGAAUGAUAAUAUACCAACUAUGCGUGUAGAAGCCUGAGUGGCGAUAUCUCUGGACGUGGGUUCGAUUCCCACCGUCUCCACCA